GUGCCAGCAGCCGCGGUAAUACGUAGGGCGCAAGCGUUAUCCGGAAUUAUUGGGCGUAAAGAGCUCGUAGGCGGUUUGUCGCGUCUGCUGUGAAAUCCCGAGGCUCAACCUCGGGCCUGCAGUGGGUACGGGCAGACUAGAGUGCGGUAGGGGAGAUUGGAAUUCCUGGUGUAGCGGUGGAAUUGCGCAGAUAUCAGGAGGAACCACCGAUGGCGAAGGCAGAUCUCUGGGGCCGUAACUGACGCUGAGGAGCGAAAGGGUGGGGAGCAAACCAGGCUUAGAUACCCUGGUAGUCC
Molecule: ribosomal RNA, 296 nt
Filed under: uncultured microorganism
Description: partial 16S ribosomal RNA
Rfam family: Bacterial small subunit ribosomal RNA
Source: RNAcentral